AAACUCAAAAGAAUAGACGGGGACCCGCCCAACCCGUGGAAGAUGUGGUUUAAUANGAUGCAACGNGAAAAACCUUACCCACCUUUGACAUGUACGGAAUCCUUUAGAGAUAGAGGAGUGCUCGAAAGAGAACCGUAACACAGGUGCUGCAUGGCUGUCGUCAGCUCGUGUCGUGAGAUGUUGGGUUAAGUCCCGCAACGAGCGCAACCCUUGUCAUUAGUUGCUACAUUUAGUUGGGCACUCUAAUGAGACUGCCGGUGACAAACCGGAGGAAGGUGGGGAUGACGUCAAGUCCUCAUGGCCCUUAUAGGUGGGGCUACACACGUCAUACAAUGGAUGGUACAAAGGGUCGCCAACCCGCGAGGGGGAGCCAAUCCCAUAAAGCCAUUCGUAGUCCGGAUCGUAGUAUGCAACUCGAUUACGUGAAGUCGGAAUCGCUAGUAAUCGUGGAUCAGAAUGUCACGGUGAAUACGUUCCCGGGUAUUGUACACACCGC
Molecule: ribosomal RNA, 496 nt
Filed under: uncultured bacterium
Lineage: Bacteria
Description: bacterial SSU rRNA
Rfam family: Bacterial small subunit ribosomal RNA
Source: RNAcentral